AAAAUACUCCCUCCGUCCGGAAAUAAUUAUCAUAGAAGUAGAUGUAUCUAGACUUAUUUUAGUUAUAGAUACAUUCAUUUUAUACAUUUCUAGGACAAGUAUUUUCGGACGGAGGGAGUAUGUU
Non-coding RNA from Hordeum vulgare subsp. vulgare (domesticated barley), 124 nucleotides. The record is from Rfam. Lineage: Eukaryota; Viridiplantae; Streptophyta; Magnoliopsida; Poales; Poaceae.